GUCCUACGGGACGCAGCAGUGAGGAAUAUUGGUCAAUGGGCGAGAGCCUGAACCAGCCAAGUCGCGUGAGGGAAGACGGUCCUAUGGAUUGUAAACCUCUUUUGCCGGGGAGCAAAAAGCGGUACGUGUACCGCAUCGAGAGUACCCGGAGAAAAAGCAUCGGCUAACUCCGUGCCAGCAGCCGCGGUAAUACGGAGGAUGCGAGCGUUAUCCGGAUUUAUUGGGUUUAAAGGGUGCGCAGGCGGUCCUGCGAGUCUGGAGUGAAACGCAUGAGCUCAACUCAUGCAUGGCUUUGGAAACUGGAG
RNAcentral lists this ribosomal RNA (305 nucleotides) under uncultured bacterium. Its description in RNAcentral is "bacterial SSU rRNA". It matches the Rfam family "Bacterial small subunit ribosomal RNA", at positions 335 to 638 of the family's 1533-position model. The record is from RNAcentral.